This is a long non-coding RNA of Sarcophilus harrisii (Tasmanian devil), 1358 nucleotides long. RefSeq lists it as uncharacterized. The record is from RefSeq and is a predicted model, not a curated record. Lineage: Eukaryota; Metazoa; Chordata; Mammalia; Dasyuromorphia; Dasyuridae. The transcript has 4 exons.
ACCCUUCGGUGAGCCAUUAUGAAAUCCGAUUACUGCAGCCAUCCUGUUUACUGCCCAAAUUAGCUAUGAGCCAUUGGAAGCGAUCCCUGUGCGUAUAGUUUUGUGUUGGACAGCUCCCAAGGUUGAUUUCCUUCUUUAUGAGUGGGCGUUCUUCUCCAAAAGGUGGGAGAAAGUUGUUUACACUUCGCAAAGUUGCAUCCUCCCUCAGCUGAGGAGGCUGAGGCUUAGGGAGAAGUCCCUUGCCCAUCGUCACAUCGCUAAUGUCAGGAUCUGAACUGGCUUUUGACUCCAACACCAGUGUUUCCUCCACUCUGCUUUGCCUAGUGUUGACGUCCAGGUUGAUGAAGAGACUGGGACACAGAGAACUCAUGACUUGUCCAGUAGAUGUCAGAGGCAGGAUUUGAAUCCAGAGCUUCCUGAUCCUAGGUCUUGUAUUCUGUCCACUACUCCAUACUUUUUCAUUCCUGUGCUACGUCACUUAGGCUAAUGCUUCUAUUGCCUCAUUGUUUCAUGUCCCAAUCCUGUAUGUCUUCAACUUUCAAUAUCUUUGGAACUCAGGGACCCCAAAGGCCAAUCUUUGGGCACUCUUGGUGUCCUGCCAUCCCGUCCCAACCAACUCUUUCUAUCAUUCUAAGGGCAGGUACAUGGAGUAAUUGAAUCCACAUAUACUGAGCCUUUGUAAUGAGCCCAGAAAAAUACUGAGCCAAGGAACAUCCCAAAGACAUCGUCUAUAUCCUUUCCCAACAGUGAUGGAAAGACCCCAGGAAAGGGAUGGAUGGCUAGGAUAGGAAGUGAACAGGUCAUAUAGUGAAAGCAAAAGUUGAGAAAAGAGCUGAGCACUCCACUGACCUCCCUGACAGAGUAAAAAUAAGCAAUUCGAAUACUGUUAUGUACUGAGUAGACCCAGUCUCAAGGAAUGAUAUAGGAAGACAUGGAAAGAAUGGAGAGACAUGUGAUGGACCAGUUGUGAGCUGUAUUGAUGGAGAGACUAUGCACGUCAAUGAAAUUUCAGCUCUCUGAUGCAUCAAAGAUUAAGCCUUAUAGCAUCCCCACUCAGUUUUUAAAUAAAAAUCUUGGGAGAUAGAAGUUAUAGAAUUAUUAUUCCCAUUUUGUAAAUGAAGAAACUGAGACUUGGAGACAUUAAGCAAGUUCUCCAAGGAACAACAACUAUAAUUUCUUAUAGGUUUUGGAACUAGAUUUGUCACCUAGGACAACACCCGUCAUUUCAUAGAUGAAGAAACUGAUUCAAAGAAGGGACAUGGCUUUUUCAUGAUAGAACAAAUUAGUCUUAAGCAAAUAGUCAAAUAACUCUAGCAAAUGUUACAGGAUUGAAAGUUGUAAGGGUCCUUAGAGGUCAC